AGUGAACGCUGGCGGUAGGCCUAACACAUGCAAGUCGAACGGCAGCACAGUAAGAGCUUGCUCUUACGGGUUGCGAGUGGCGGGCGGGUGAGGAAUACAUCGGAAUCUACUUUUUCGUGGGGGAUAACGUAGGGAAACUUACGCUAAUACCGCAUACGACCUUCGGGUGAAAGCAGGGGAUCUUCGGACCUUGCGCGAUUGAAUGAGCCGAUGUCGGAUUAGCUAGUUGGCGGGGUAAAGGCCCACCAAGGCGACGAUCCGUAGCUGGUCUGAGAGGAUGAUCAGCCACACUGGAACUGAGACACGGUCCAGACUCCUACGGGAGGCAGCAGUGGGGAAUAUUGGACAAUGGGCGCAAGCCUGAUCCAGCCAUACCGCGUGGGUGAAGAAGGCCUUCGGGUUGUAAAGCCCUUUUGUUGGGAAAGAAAAGCAGCAGGUUAAUACCCCGCUGUUCUGACGGUACCCAAAGAAUAAGCACCGGCUAACUUCGUG
This 492-nucleotide ribosomal RNA is filed under the name uncultured bacterium. Its description in RNAcentral is "partial 16S ribosomal RNA". It matches the Rfam family "Bacterial small subunit ribosomal RNA", at positions 29 to 507 of the family's 1533-position model. The record is from RNAcentral.